This 1510-nucleotide long non-coding RNA is filed under the name Pogona vitticeps (central bearded dragon). RNAcentral's name for it is "lncRNA (ENSPVIG00000020260.1)". Lineage: Eukaryota; Metazoa; Chordata; Lepidosauria; Squamata; Agamidae. The record is from RNAcentral.
AUUCUCCUCUUCACAUUAGAGGCACAAGAAACUCGUUAAGACAGCCCAGUGUUCAGAGCACUCAUCUAGGGCUAAUUAGAGACACUUUUAGGCAAUCUCUUUGAGAAGGGACGUAAAAGGAGUAGGGAAAACAGAAAUCUAAUGCAUACGGGCCAAAAGCUUUGCAGAUCAACCUCUCUGUGAGCCUGCAGGAAACAAAACUCUGCAUCCUGGGCACGGAAAAUCGGAUUGCAUGGUUUCUUUCUUGUUCUCAUUUAACAAUAGACCCACCAGUGUUCCUGACCUUAAAAAAAACGACCCGGGUAUAUCCUAGCCGAGAACUGUUGCAGGGAUCAUAAAUACCAAAUGGUUCUCUCCAUUGUCAUUGAAGUGACAUGAGAUAAUGCUAUAUUUAAGGCUUCAAAGGGUGGGCAGCUUUACCCUUGGGUGCAUUCUUGCCGGGACAGUCAUUCUGGAUGCCAUCAAGUAACAGAGAAGGCAUCGUUCUUUUGUCCUUCAUCUUUCUUCAGGACUGGAAGCUUCGCCAACCCUCUCCAGUUUUGCCGCAGAUUAGGACAGCCACUGAAAACACCCACGUCUGGGAGAUUUCCCCUUCAAGCUUGUUCCACCAAGGUUCUUGGUCCAGAAAUGCUUCAAUCAGAGUGUGGAGGAUGGAUUUGGGAGAUCUGGUCUCAAAUCCCCACCGGGACAUAGAGUUCCCAAGCUGCAGCCUUGAUUCUCCAGCUGAACCCCCAAGACCUGGAUUCCAUACUUCUGAAUGUAUAAGGUUUGCUCCCCAAAAUAGAGUCUUAUUAUUUAUAUGGUUAUCACUGCGCCAGGAGUCCAGGGCUGCUGCGGUCAACUGGGUUUCGGAUGGGGGCAAAAUAAUACUCUUUUGUGCAUUUGUUUGCAUUUGAUCUUCUAAGCAUUCGGGCAGCAUCUAAAAAGAGCCAGCAAGCGGUCCUAAAAGUGGAGGGCCAACGGCAUAUCAGGCUCCCUCCUUUGGCAGCCGGUCCCUCGAAAUGGACCCAGGCCAAGGGCAGUUUCAUUGUCCGUCUCCCUAUUUCAAGCUCUAGGAAAGGGACCGACUUUGCUCUGCUUGGAUAGAGUUCAGACUUUAGAAGCAACACGUUAACAGGCCAGGUUGUGAUCUGAAAGGAGAUGCUUCCUCUCUCCUGCUCCCCAUGCCAAACAAAGCUGUAAUAGAGUUGCGUUUGGAAAAAACAACAUACCAAGUGGAAACACCAUUACAUCGGUUUUAGGGCAACAAAAAUGUGUUGUAGCUACUUUGUCUAAUUCUCUUUAAAGAACAUUUUAAACUGUUUAGAGGCCAUCAACCAGGCUGAUAGCUGCGGUUCGAUCAGCUUUUCCCCUUCUUCAAGGAAAUUAGCAAGUCCUUGUUCUCCUUUCGGUCUCCUGUAAUGAAAAGCCGGUCAGUGUACUUGGACACACGGAAGCUAGAAAUAUCUGUACAAUACUCAAGUCUAGGUUUAAUCUUGUAGCAAUAAAUACAAGAUUUCUUUUUCUUUCA